RNAcentral lists this ribosomal RNA (501 nucleotides) under uncultured Desulfobulbus sp. RNAcentral describes it as "bacterial SSU rRNA". It matches the Rfam family "Bacterial small subunit ribosomal RNA", at positions 904 to 1382 of the family's 1533-position model. Lineage: Bacteria; Pseudomonadati; Thermodesulfobacteriota; Desulfobulbia; Desulfobulbales; Desulfobulbaceae. The record is from RNAcentral.
CCUUGCCAGCCCGCUCAGAAACUUAAGGAAUUGACGGGGCCCGCACAAGCGGUGGAGCAUGUGGUUUAAUUCGAAGCAACGCGAAGAACCUUACCAGGCCUUGACAUGCAGAGAACUUUCCAGAGAUGGAUUGGUGCCUUCGGGAACUCUGACACAGGUGCUGCAUGGCCGUCGUCAGCUCGUGUCGUGAGAUGUUGGGUUAAGUCCCGCAACGAGCGCAACCCUUGCCUUUAGUUGCCAGCAGUUCGGCUGGGCACUCUAAAGGGACUGCCGGUGUUAAACCGGAGGAAGGUGGGGAUGACGUCAAGUCCUCAUGGCCUUUAUGACCAGGGCUACACACGUACUACAAUGGCCGAUACAAAGGGCAGCGACACUGCGAGGUGAAGCCAAUCCCGUAAAAUCGGUCUCAGUCCGGAUUGGAGUCUGCAACUCGACUCCAUGAAGUUGGAAUCGCUAGUAAUCGUGGAUCAGCAUGCCACGGUGAAUACGUUCCCGGGCCUU